AAUUCGUGCUUAUAUUUUCUUUGUUGUGAUAUCCACAUUACUGAAAGAGUUUUUUCUUUCUUUUUCUUCUCCUUUUGCCAAGCAGCGUAUUGAAAUGCACGGAACUCAGUGAAGGAAAUAAAAUUUCAUGUUCAAAACUCACAAGCUUUAGCUAAAACUUUAUUAUAAAAUUCUAAAGUUCUUUAAGAACAACUCCCCAAUCUACAGCUCCAUCUGCUUGUCCAUGAAAGGGUCCCCAAAUUGGCUGGGAUUACGAGAGCGAGACAAUCUUCAGAAUGCUAGUUACACCAAAGUUGUAAGAAUAAUAAAUUAGCGUACAAUAAACUUGUUAUCUACACAAACAAAAAUGCACUGCUUUAUGUACUAAAGGGUCCAAACGGAUGUAGCAGGAUCAUUACUAACCUGUAGCUGCAGCAUGGGAGAGGUCGUGAGUGGAUGUGCUUGCACUGCAUGCAAGAACUCUUCCACAACAUAGCCUUGAUCAGUACAACAAGCUAAAGCUGAAACUUAUUAUCCAUCCAUGUGCUAAUCUAUGAGACUCUCACAAAACAGUCCUAUAUAUACAUGUAAAUAUUAGUUCUAAUUUGGCUAGCUAGGAGGAGAGGUAACUAACCUACAAGAGUUAUUACAGUACCUUGGAAUUAAGGCCGGAUGAGGAUGAGGACCACCAGAGUAGCUGUUCCCUCAUUUUUCACAAAAUACCCUUCUUGGAAAACCACAAGAGAAUACACCAAUCAAAAUUUGAAAUACCCUUCUUGGAAAAUCACCUUUACUAAAAAGGUUCAUCGCGUUAUGCACAAGCAAGCGCACACAUGCAUGUAUUAUAAACAAAUUUUGCUUUUGUAACAAGCAAGCAGACACACAUGCAAGUAUGAUGAACAAUUUUGCUUUUGCUUUUUUACUGAAAUAAUAUCAUUAUACGUUUUAAAAUAUCACUUGAUCCAAGUCGAUGACUCGGUUUCAUUUUCAAGAAAGAUCAUAAUAUACAUCACUAUGAGAAAUAUCAAGUGUCAUUGAAAUUUUGAGAAAAGGGCAUUAUCAGACUGCAAAGAUGCCUUGAACUAUGAAGACCAAUCUCUGAAACAAAAUAAACAAACUCCAUCACAUCCUACUGAGAACAUUCUGUAAUAAAAGAUUGACAUGUCGAAAGAUGAUAUGCCAAGCUGAUGGCGAUGAAAGAUGGGCUGUUGCACCGAUCAUUGCAUAGCCUUUGAGCUUGCAAGUUCGCAACAUGGAUGAAAGUUGUAUGAAUAAUUAAUUACACGCUGAACUUGUUAUCUACACAAACAAAAAUGCAUUGCUUUAUGUACAAAAGGAGCCAAACGGAUGUAGCGGAGUCGUUACUAACCUGCAUCUGCAGCAUGGGAGAGGUCGUGAGUGGAUGUACUUGUGAACACUGCCUGCAAGAACUCUUCCACAACAUAGCCAUGAUCAGUACAGCAAGCUAAAACUGAAACUUAUUUUCCAUCCAUGUGCCAAUCUACGAGACUCUCACACAACAAUCCUACACAUGUAAGUAUCAGUUCUAAUUUGGCUAGCUAGGAGCAGAGGUAACUAACCAGCAAGAAUUAUUACAGUAACUCCAAUCAUUGUAAUGCAGGUGCAGACAUCUUACAUUCUUGUACGACAUGCUAUAUUUGAAUACUUGCUAUAUAAGAGUAGAAUCAUUAUACUUAAGCCAUAAUACUAAUCCUUAAUCUACAAUUCCGAUGAGGAUUUGCUGCAAAAAAAUAUAGUCCCAAUGUAAAUAUUCAAUAGGAGGAGCAAACAAAAUCUUUCAGUUCACAAAGUAAGAAACCGAUGCAUAGAUCAUCAUUAAUAAACCUGCAAAGAACUGGUUUGGGAUAAACAUUUUAAUGACAUGUGUUCUAUAGACUCCCACAACAUCACAAAAUAAAAUAAAAUAAAAGGUAUGGAAAUAAACAGGAAGGGAUGUUAACUGUGUUACAAAAAAUCAACAUUAUUUAUCAUAAACUUUUGCUGGAAAACUGAUGUAAAAAAGCCUUUGCUGGAAAUUAGUGAUUAGAGGCUUAAUAAGUAACAAGGGGAGGGAUAUCUAGAUAAUUUGCAGUGCUGUAAACUGAGCUAGUUCAUUGUGCCGGUGUGAUGGCACUACCCGUGGCAGGACACAUCCCUUGAAGCUGAGUAUCGAGG
This 2154-nucleotide long non-coding RNA is filed under the name Triticum aestivum (bread wheat). RNAcentral describes it as "long non-coding RNA (TAES_LNC007758)". Lineage: Eukaryota; Viridiplantae; Streptophyta; Magnoliopsida; Poales; Poaceae. The record is from RNAcentral.